AAUCCGUCGACUUUAAAAAAUCGUGAGGGUUCAAGUCCCUCUAUCCCCAAAAAG
This 54-nucleotide transfer RNA is filed under the name Pilea microphylla. RNAcentral describes it as "partial tRNA-Leu". The record is from RNAcentral. Lineage: Eukaryota; Viridiplantae; Streptophyta; Magnoliopsida; Rosales; Urticaceae.